Molecule: ribosomal RNA, 440 nt
Filed under: uncultured bacterium
Lineage: Bacteria
Description: bacterial SSU rRNA
Rfam family: Bacterial small subunit ribosomal RNA
Source: RNAcentral
CCUACGGGUGGCAGCAGUCGAGAAUUUUUCACAAUGGGCGAAAGCCUGAUGGAGCGACGCCGCGUGGGGGAUGAAUGGCUUCGGCCCGUAAACCCCUGUCAUUUGCGAACAAACCUCGUUAUUUAAAAGAUGACGAGUUGAUUGUAGCGAAAGAGGAAGGGACGGCUAACUCUGUGCCAGCAGCCGCGGUAAUACAGAGGUCCCAAGCGUUGUUCGGAUUCACUGGGCGUAAAGGGUGCGUAGGUGGUCGGGUAAGUCUGAUGUGAAAUCUCCGAGCUCAACUCGGAAAUGGCAUUGGAUACUAUUCGGCUAGAGGGUUGGAGGGGGGACUGGAAUUCUCGGUGUAGCAGUGAAAUGCGUAGAUAUCGAGAGGAACACCAGUGGCGAAGGCGAGUCCCUGGACAACUCCUGACGCUGAGGCACGAAAGCUAGGGGAGCAA